AGGAGGAACAACCGCAGUGGCGGGGCCGCUCUGCAGCCCUGGAUUCAGCCCCCGCAGUAGCUCCGGAGCUCUCGGUCUGCAGGGCCUGGAGGCUCCGGGGCGGG
This 104-nucleotide microRNA precursor is filed under the name Canis lupus familiaris (dog). RNAcentral's name for it is "mir-8834 microRNA precursor family". It matches the Rfam family "mir-8834 microRNA precursor family". RNAcentral also lists the same sequence under 1 other name. The record is from Rfam by way of RNAcentral. Lineage: Eukaryota; Metazoa; Chordata; Mammalia; Carnivora; Canidae.